Molecule: ribosomal RNA, 1461 nt
Filed under: Mesomycoplasma neurolyticum
Lineage: Bacteria; Bacillati; Mycoplasmatota; Mycoplasmoidales; Metamycoplasmataceae
Description: 16S ribosomal RNA
Rfam family: Bacterial small subunit ribosomal RNA
Source: RNAcentral
GAUGAACGCUGGCUGUGUGCCUAAUACAUGCAUGUUGAACGAAGCAGUAUUUAUAUUGACUUAGUAGCGAAUGGGUGAGUAACACGUACCUAACCUACCUUUAAGAUUGGGAUAACUACUGGAAACAGUUGCUAAUACCAAAUAACAAAUUUUUUCGCAUGAAAAAAUUUUAAAAGAAGCAUAAGAGGUAACUCCGCUUCACUUAAAAAUGGGGGUGCGGAACAUUAGCUAGUUGGUAGAGUAAUGGCCUACCAAGGCGAUGAUGUUUAGCCGGGCCGAGAGGCUGUACGGCCACACUGGGACUGAGAUACGGCCCAGACUCCUACGGGAGGCAGCAGUAGGGAAUUUUCCACAAUGAGCGAAAGCUUGAUGGAGCGACACAGCGUGCAGGAUGAAGGCCUUCGGGUUGUAAACUGCUGUGGUAAGGAAAGAAAAAAUAGGGUAGGAAAUGACCCUUAAUUGACGGUACCUUAUUAGAAAGCGAUGGCUAACUAUGUGCCAGCAGCCGCGGUAAUACAUAGGUCGCAAGCGUUAUCCGGAAUUAUUGGGCGUAAAGAGUUCGUAGGUGGUUUGUUAAGUCUGAAGUUAAAUCCAAAAGCUCAACUUUUGCCCGCUUUAGAUACUAGCAAACUGGAAUUGCAAAGAGGUUAGCGGAAUUCCUAGUGAAGCGGUGGAAUGCGUAGAUAUUAGGAAGAACACCAAUAGGCGAAGGCAGCUAACUGGUUGUAUAUUGACACUGAGGAACGAAAGCGUGGGGAGCAAACAGGAUUAGAUACCCUGGUAGUCCACGCCGUAAACGAUGAUCAUUAGUUGGUAGAAAAAUUUACCGAUGCAGCUAACGCAUUAAAUGAUCCGCCUGAGUAGUAUACUCGCAAGAGUGAAACUUAAAGGAAUUGACGGGGACCCGCACAAGCGGAGGAGCAUGUGGUUUAAUUUGAAGAUACGCGUAGAACCUUACCCACUCUUGACAUCCCUUGCAAAGUUAUAGAGAUAUAAUGGAGGCUAACAAGGUGACAGAUGGUGCAUGGUUGUCGUCAGCUCGUGUCGUGAGAUGUUAGGUUAAGUCCUGCAACGAGCGCAACCCUUGUCUUUAGUUACUAACAUUAAGUUGAGAACUCUAGAGAGACUGCCAACGAAAGUUGGAGGAAGGUGGGGACGACGUCAAAUCAUCAUGCCUCUUACGAGUGGGGCAACACACGUGCUACAAUGGUUGGUACAAAGAGAUGCGACAUAGUGAUAUCAAGCAAAUCUCAAAAAACCAAUCUCAGUUCGGAUUGAAGUCUGCAACUCGACUUCAUGAAGUCGGAUUCGCUAGUAAUCGCAGAUCAGCUAUGCUGCGGUGAAUACGUUCUCGGGUCUUGUACACACCGCCCGUCACACCAUGGGAGUUGGUAAUACCCGAAGAUGGUUAGUUAACCUCGGAGGCAACUAUCUAAGGUAGGACUGAUGACUGGGGUGAAG